UACGUAAGGUGCAAGCGUUGUUCGGAAUGACUGGGCGUAAAGCGCAUGUAGGCGGUUUACUAAGUUGGAUGUGAAAUCCCCGGGCUCAACUCGGGAGUGGCAUCCAAAACUGGUUUACUUGAAUCAUUGAGAGGUCAGUGGAAUUCCUGGUGUAGGAGUGAAAUCCGUAGAUAUCAGGAGGAACAUCAGUGGCGAAGGCGGCUGGCUGGCGAAUGAUUGACGCUGAGAUGCGAAAGUGUGGGGAGCAAACAGG
RNAcentral lists this ribosomal RNA (253 nucleotides) under uncultured bacterium. RNAcentral describes it as "partial 16S ribosomal RNA". It matches the Rfam family "Bacterial small subunit ribosomal RNA", at positions 524 to 776 of the family's 1533-position model. The record is from RNAcentral.